AGUGAACGCUGGCGGUAGGCCUAACACAUGCAAGUCGAACGGCAGCACAGUAAGAGCUUGCUCUUACGGGUGGCGAGUGGCGGAAGGGUGAGGAAUACAUCGGAAUCUACUUUUUCGUGGGGGAUAACGUAGGGAAACUUACGCUAAUACCGCAUACGACCUACGGGUGAAAGCAGGGGAUCUUCGGACCUUGCGCGAUUGAAUGAGCCGAUGUCGGAUUAGCUAGUUGGCGGGGUAAAGGCCCACCAAGGCGACGAUCCGCAGCUGGUCUGAGAGGAUGACCAGCCACACUGGAACUGAGACACGGUCCAGACUCCUACGGGAGGCAGCAGUGGGGAAUAUUGGACAAUGGGCGCAAGCCUGAUCCAGCCAUACCGCGUGGGUGAAGAAGGCCUUCGGGUUGUAAAGCCCUUUUGUUGGGAAAGAAAAGCAGCAGGUUAAUACCCCGCUGUUCUGACGGUACCCAAAGAAUAAGCACCGGCUAACUUCGUG
Molecule: ribosomal RNA, 492 nt
Filed under: uncultured bacterium
Lineage: Bacteria
Description: partial 16S ribosomal RNA
Rfam family: Bacterial small subunit ribosomal RNA
Source: RNAcentral